UACAAACAAGGUUGGGGCAAACUCCACACAAAGCUUGGAGGCUCCCAACAAGACCACGAAGCUUCACCACAAUGAAAUGUGGCUCUGAGGUGACCUCAACCGUCUAGGGUGCUCAAACACCCAAGAGUAACAAGAUCCGCAAGGGAUUGGUGGAGGAAUCAACUUUUCUCUUGGUGGAAGUGUAGAUCUAGGCCUUCUCAACCAAUCCCUAAAGAAUCAACAAGUUUGAUUGGCUAGGGAGAGAGAUCGGACACUUUUGAGCUUAGGGAGCAACAAUGGAGCUUGGGAGGGUCAAAGGUAGGGUUCUACAGCAAGAAGAACCCCUUAUAUAGUGGGGGGGGGGGAAUCCAACCGUUUUCCCACUCACAGCCCGAGCCUAGCGGUACUACCGCUGGCUGCAGCGGUACUACCUCUUGGCCCAUGGUAGUGCAGAAGAACUACCAGACCAACCACCGCCAAGAAAGUCUUCGCAAAAAGGUCCGACGAAGUACAGCCGCUAGGAAGGCGGUACUAAGCUCCUCGAGCGGUACUACCACUAGCCAGGGGUUGUACUACCGCGAGCACAACGGUACCACCGCUAGGCCCAGCGGUACUACCGCUGAGAGACCUUUUGCUUAGAUGAGAUAAAAACAGAGGCGGGAGCCACUCCAAAGUUGCAGGGAAAGGGAAAGGAGAUAAAGUGUGUGCGUGCAAAAUUGAUUCCACCCAAACCUUUCCACUACGGGUCCCCUCUUAAUAGUACGACGUUCCUAUGACUCAAAGAAGGAGAAUCGUGGAGUACACCGUGCUUCUGUUCCAUGGAAAGAGGGGGCGAGUCAUCUUGUGCUGUUGACAUGUGUUAUCUGAAAUCUUAACACACACGAUGUGUCCUUUGCGGUACUGUCAUCAAUCACCAAAAUUACUUAGGCAUAAAAUAUGCCCUAACAAACAUGAGUAUCAUGCGUGCCUAUUGUAGUUAUUUUUAACAAUCUGAUUUGUUAACACAUCAUUACAAGGUUACUUAAAACUACCUUUAUAGAUAUUUGAAACCAAAGUCUAGGAGUAUUCAACCAACCAGCACGGAACAUGAAAGAAAAUAUUUGUAUUUUUGCUUAGUAACUGUUAACAAACAAUGUGGUUCACAUAUGAAUGUGUGUAAUUUUAUUCUAUUCAUGAGUGUGUAAAUCACAAGAGAACUGUGCAAUGAGGUUCUUGUCACUGGUGAGGAUAGUGCACUAUUCCCAUAUUGUUUUGCUCAAUACUGAAGCAUUGGUCCCUUCUUGUUCGGUGCAAGAACCAACACUCUUUAUCGCCACUAUGGCCACGAAGGCUUCAACCAUACGGAUGUGCAUGAGCUGCUUUUUAUCAUAUACUGACCAUUCUUCUGUUUGCAGCAGAUGGUCGCUCUCAUGGUUGGGGACAACAGCUUGGCCUGGUACCAUGCACAACAAUCCCAUCAAACCUAUCAUCGCCUUAAUGGCUACUAGACCCGGUGUAGUGUGGCGAAGGCGUCGUCAAUGAAGAGAAAAAGAUUGUGGUCGAGGUUGUUGUGAGGGGUUCUUUGAUUGCUACUAACAUUAGGAAUUGAAUGCAAAUGAAGCUGAAUUGUAGCUUACGAGAUUUUAAUAAAGAUAUACAUUUUAUAUUGAAAUAAAAUAUGUCAUAGAGCGUUCUAUGUCAAAAGUCCUAUUCUGCUUCCGAGCUCAUAUGCUCCCACAUGAACGGUAAGAUUAAAAUUGUAAAAAAUAAAUCAAAACAUUCUGAUUUUUGUGUGUGACAAACUUUGAU
Molecule: long non-coding RNA, 1767 nt
Filed under: Hordeum vulgare
Lineage: Eukaryota; Viridiplantae; Streptophyta; Magnoliopsida; Poales; Poaceae
Description: long non-coding RNA (HVUL_LNC004622)
Source: RNAcentral